RNAcentral lists this unclassified non-coding RNA (275 nucleotides) under fungal sp. Its description in RNAcentral is "partial internal transcribed spacer region". The stretch from base 1 to 46 matches the Rfam family "Eukaryotic small subunit ribosomal RNA", at positions 1786 to 1831 of the family's 1831-position model. The record is from RNAcentral. Lineage: Eukaryota; Fungi.
AAGUCGUAACAAGGUUUCCGUAGGUGAACCUGCGGAAGGAUCAUUACCUUUGGCUGCCGUGAGCGCUUCGGCGUGAGCGACAGUCAUUCUAUAGCGAUGCCUCCGUGUCCGGGAAACCGGCGCGGGGCUGACCUAACCCUUCUCUACGAGUACCUAUUAUUCUCCUUCGGCGGGGCAACCCGUCGCUGGAACUUAAGAACCAACUUGCAUUUAGCAUUACCUGUUCUGAUAACAAUUAAUUAUUACAACUUUCAACAAUGGAUCUCUUGGCUCUG